GACGAACGCUGGCGGCGUGCUUAACACAUGCAAGUCGAACGGUAAGGCCCUUCGGGGUACACGAGUGGCGAACGGGUGAGUAACACGUGGGUGAUCUGCCCUGCACUUCGGGAUAAGCCUGGGAAACUGGGUCUAAUACCGGAUAGGACCACUGCCUGCAUGGGUGGUGGUGGAAAGCUUUUGCGGUGUGAGAUGGGCCCGCGGCCUAUCAGCUUGUUGGUGGGGUGAUGGCCUACCAAGGCGACGACGGGUAGCCGGCCUGAGAGGGUGACCGGCCACACUGGGACGGAGAUACGGCCCAGACUCCUACGGGAGGCAGCAGUGGGGAAUGUUGCACAAUGGGCGCAAGCCUGAUGCAGCGACGCCGCGUGAGGGAUGACGGCCUUCGGGUUGUAAACCUCUUUCAGCACCGACGAAGCGCAAGUGACGGUAGGUGCAGAAGAAGGACCGGCCAACUACGUGCCAGCAGCCGCUGUAA
This 478-nucleotide ribosomal RNA is filed under the name uncultured bacterium. RNAcentral describes it as "partial 16S ribosomal RNA". It matches the Rfam family "Bacterial small subunit ribosomal RNA", at positions 28 to 523 of the family's 1533-position model. The record is from RNAcentral.